CUGAGCGCGCGCUCGGAGCUCCGCGCCCUGCGUGCCCGGGCCGGGGGUCCCGGGGCGGCUCCGCUGAGGGGAGGAGGCGGCUCGAGGGUGGGAGAAGGGUCCGAGAGCGACUCCCCAGCGGGAGAAGGACGGGGCAGCAGCACGUCCCGGCCGGUACGAUGCGGGACGGGGAAGGAACCCAGGAUUCCAAGUACGUGCAGACCCGAGCCAGCGCCUGGCCAGCGGGUCCGUCGCAGCGGCGGUGCCGUGACUCCGUCGUGCAGACUGAGCCCCGAACGGCCACUGGGCUGUAGUGGGGGCUCCUGGCCGUGCCACUACUGUGUGACCAGCCUGAUUCCAUCAGGGAUGUUCCUGGCAUCCAAACCCACGCAGAAUCUGGGUGUGCUCUGCAGAGGUUCCUACUCAUCCGGGUCUGCGACCCACGUGGGAAGGGAGGUCCAGCUUCGGCUGGUGAUGUGGCUGCCUCACUGCUGAGCGCACCGUGGACUCUGGAGUACCCGCUGCACAGAAGGGCUCUGGGCCACAGCUCCUGUACAUCACGGCAGAGCUUUGCCCGCUCGUCCUCACCAUCCCCACUCCGGAGCUGGUCUGGUACCUGCUUCACUAUCCUCACGCUCCAUUCCUCCUGGGGACAGUCUGGUGCACUGCAGGAUGUCAGCUGCAUCCUGGCCCCUGUGCUCUAGAUGUCACACCCCCCCCCAGGUUUGGCAACCCAUACUGUCUCCAGAUAUUGCCAAAUGCCCCCUGUGUGCAAAAUCUCCCACGGAGACCCCCGUCCUAGCAGGACCCAGCAUGGUGAGUUGGUGAGUACAGUGUGAGGAGAGUGGCUUCAUUUACCAGGUAGUCACUGGAGCCACCAUGUGUCUAACGUCCAGGGGGGAGACAAGAGGAGCACAAGCAGCCCCAGCUCUGAUGGGAAAGUUGUCCUCCUUUGGCUUGGGGGCCUGAUGCCAGGACCAGGGGCUGGGGCUGGUUUGGAUGGAUGGGGGACUCCCAGAUCUACUGUCCUCCCUAGUUAUCAUCCUGGAAGGAUGAAGAGGGUCUACCAGGCAGAGGGAGGGAACCGUGGUGCCCCAUGUAGCCACCUCUGUGCUCACAAAAGCAGGCUUUUCUGCUUCCUCAAACUCUCUGGUGUUGGCCUGAGCUCCAACAAACAGCAUCAAGUGGUGAAGAAACCGGACCUUGUUUUAGUAUUUCUUUUCCAGCCAAGAUACAUUUCGGGAGGAAUUUCAAGUGACCUGUGAGGAGGGGAGUGACCCUUCCACCUGUUGGUUUGCACAUUGUACCCUUCUCCUCUGGUCAGAGGGUUGAAAAUGUCAUUGGUUGUAGGGAUGGAAUUGUCACCCUCUGGAGAGGUCUCGUCUGCAGGUCCCCAAACAGCUGGAACUGAGAGCAACCGGGAACCCUGGGCUCGGGAGUCAGACCCCUUGAAAGUGGUUACAGUUGAAGGAUCUGUUUAGAAAAGACUUGGACUGGGUAAGUCAACCCCCCCUCCCCCGGGUCCUGCCUAGUCAUAAGGAGGAAUGUCACCCCAAGACCCAUGGGCAGCUUUGAGUGAGGAGUACAUGUGUGCAUUCCAGGCUUGGGGGCCUCCUGAACCCCUCACCCUACCCUCUUUGGAGUGUGUGCCCCUGCCCCUUCCCUGCGGGUACCUGGGUGCAGAAGUGCUAUGACAAGUGGGCGAAGUGAAACCACCACCCGGGCCCCUGGGGAGAGGAACCUGCUGGUUGUGAAUCUGGAAACUGCAACCACCUUUAACCCACAGCCACGUCCAUGCAGCUCAGCAGCACCUCACACCCAGAGCUCUGCCUGUGGUCAAGAAGCUGUCCCCAAAGGCUCGUCAGGAUCCAGGACUUCACACCGGGGAAGGGUGAGCAACGUGUAAUUAGACGUGAAGUGAGCUAGCCAGCCUCAACCCAGUAACCCUCACCUAAACACCUCCCUAACCUAAUUUGCCAGCACGGUCGCUGUCUGUGCAGAGAAACAUAGGAGCAAGAAAGUCGGCAGCCAACCAGACCUUGAGAGCACCUCACUUGGCUGGCCCUGAACAGACCCUUGGCCCCAGGAUGGUGACCUGCGGUGAUCCCACAACCAUCACACCAGUGGAAAUGCCUCUGCAUCCAGGUUCCCUCAAGGCAGCACCCCACAGGGUAGGAGGGCCCCUGGACUCCAUGAGGUGGAUGCAGGAGGAACCAACUACAGUGGAAGGUGAGUUUGUAUGAGACGUGGACGUGAUGGCCUGACAGCCCGGAGGACCCUAGUGUGGCCGGUCAGAUACGUGCAUAGGCUAGAACUUCAAGUGACCAGCUGCUGAGCCAGGUCUGGGCCAGUCUCAGCAUCUGGGCUUCUGUCCUCAAGCAGCCACAUACCCCAAGGGCUGCCUCUGGAGCUGGGACCCAGGUUUUUCCUCCCUGGGCCAGGAGAAGGUAUAGGGAGGGAACAGCCAAGCACAGGAGCUGGAACUGAGGAGGGAGGAGGUGCCCCAGACAGCAGGAGCUUCCAGGUCCCGGAGAAGCCCAAGCCACCCCAGUCUGCUCUGCAGGGACGUGGGCACUAACAGCUGUCCGAUAGCUCCUGGCUCUGCCCUGAGGGAGGGUGGUGUUGAGGUUCCCCCAGCCUGGCCCACAUCUGAGCCGCAUUCGGAUCUUCCCAGCCCUGUGUGGAUAGCAACACCACCUCUUUUCCCCAGGGUGCCAGCGCCCCAUCCUUCUGAGUGAGCAAAAUCCCAGGUGAGGGUGACAGGACGGCCCUGGACUCCUGGGCUGGGCUCAGACCUCAGCCAGGUACUCACAGCACCACACACACAAAACCCUUGCACCCCUGCUUGGUGAGCGGGUGCUGUCAGAGCUUAAGCCCCCCCUCCCGGCUCCCGCAGACCUGGGAUCGUACCCAGACUUGUAGGCUCCGAGGUGUUAACCAGAGCGCAGGGUCCUGGCUGCCAAGGGCAGAGGCCUCACCCAGAGACCCGGCUUAUAUGCAAAAAUGCCAGUUUCAGCCUCCACAUCCUGCACCAAGUUAGGCACUUACAGUAAUGGUCCCUGUUCUCUAGUAGGUACUCCCGUAUGGUCCCCGCAGGUGCUCCCAGACCGGUCACCUGGUUGAACCAGCCUGAGGAAAGGACCCAGAUCCUGCUACCUGCAGGGCAGGGGAGCGUCUGACACAGUAGUUACCGUCUUAUGUCCCUGCUGCGCGGUGGAAAGUCUGAGGCUGCGUUGAGUGUUCAGGGGCAGGGUGCCCAGGGCUGUAGACCCCUGCUUCAGCGGCUGAUAGUGUUGGCGCAUCUCGUGUCUUUUGUGUGCAUACGUUUGUACGUUUUCUUCUUUUUAAAUGAUUUUUUAAAAGAUUAUUUAUUUUAGAGGGGAAAAUCACGCACAAGUCGGGGGCGGGGCAGAGGGAGAGAAUCUUAGGCGGUCUCCCCCCUGAGUGCAGAGCCUGAGGCCGGGCUCGAUCUCAUGACCCCGGGAUCAUGACCUGAGCCAAAAUCAGGAGUGGGCCACUUAACUGACUGAGCCACCCGGAUGCCCCACAGUUGGACCAUUUGAAAGUUGCAGAGGCUAUGACCCUUUGUCCCUAUAUACCUGGGACAACGUGAGACGCUGUCCUGGCACCGUAAGCACACCCUGGGAGACAGGAUCCCUCAGCACCCUGAGGUGAGAGUUUGCAUUUUCCCUACUGUCCCCAAAACAUGCAGUGUAAGAAACAUGGCCCUCCGCUGGGGACUCAAUGGUAGUGCCAGUGACCACCAUCUCAGGCGGGGGCCUGGAGGGCUGGCCAACCCCUCUGCACUGGAGUACCCAGCCAGUGUCACUGAUGCUGGGGGGGGCGGGGGGAGGAUCCCAUCCGCCCCUCUGUGCCUCUGCACCAUGCCCCCCCUCUGCCUCUGCGCCCACACACCAUGGCCUGUCAAGAGCGUGAGUCCGAGAACCUGGGCAUCCAGAGCAGACACAGGAAUGAGGGGCAUUCCGGGCCUUCAAGCAAAGGAGGUGUGAAAUCCCCUUCCCUGCACCAACAAAAGGAGAAGGUGGGCCUGCUGAGGCUCUGGGGACUAUGUGGCCAGGCACAUUGGGCGAUGCCCACCCAACCUCUCCCCUCUCAGGCCCCACAAGUGUUGGACAUGCCUCAGCCCUGGGAGAGGCUGUGCACUCCAGGGAUGGGGGUGGGAGAUGCUGUGGAUGGGGCACAGGCCCUCCCUGGGUCAGUUCUGAGCCACACCUCAGUGACUCAGCCCAGGCGAGUGGGCGGGGACAGCUGUAGAAAACCCUCGUUCUGGGCUCUCAUCAGGUGUGGCCUGGUUCCCACCCGUGCAGUCGGCCUGUCUCCCAGACACCCAGCUCUGGAAAGAGGCCACAGUGGGCUGGGCAGUCCAGGGCUGCCUCCUGCUGGAUGGGCUGAGCACAGUCCCCAGGCCAUCGUCCCUUGGCAGUAGGGGCUCCAUUUAGAUGGGCAGCCCCACCCAGAACCAGGAGAUGCCAGCAAAGCCAGCCUUGGAAGACAGGAGUCCUCCUGUCCCCUCAGUGAGUCUGCAGUCCAUCUGUACAUGGUGGUGGGAAGUCCAGGUUGGCCUCACCUUCCCUGGACCUGAGGUUCAGGGAAGCAUGGCUCACAGGCUGGACAGGGAAGGGUACCCAGAGCCCCACAUGGGAUUGAUGUGGAGUGGGGAUCCUGGGGACCUGGGGGAGGGUCCAGGGGGUUGAUCACAUGUGCUUGGCAAACCAUAGAGACAGUGGUGAGGGGACUCAAGCAGGGGCCAGGGGAGGAUCAGACGCUGGGACCUGUGCAGGGUGAGGGCAGAGGAGGGUCAGACCACUGGUGUGGCUUCCAGAUCUUUGCACCUAAGGUCCCCAAAUGCCAUAGGCAAGGUCAACCAGGAGGUGACCUGAUGUCAUUACAGACUCAUUCUUCUGGCCUGAGAAGUCAUUGCGUGAUUUGUGCACCCCUUACAGAACCCAGGAAAUACUUAUUGAAGAACCCCUAGCAGGUGGGCUCUGGGAGCGUGGCCAGGGUGAUGAGUUCGAUGCUGAGGAAGAGUCCUGUGCCCCUGACACUCAGCUCCCACCCAACAGAACACCCGAAUCCCUGCAUUGCCUGAGGGCCAUAUGGCCCCUCUGAGGCGGCUGUCCUGCAAGACUAUGUUCAGGACCCUGCCUACAGCCCCUCGGCUUCUCGACCUGUGAUCAGAGGUCUCAGCGGGCCCUGGAGAUGGGGUACAGUGUGACCCAUAAGGAAGUGGGCUACACUCCAAAAAGAACUACUUGAGUUUUCUAGUUUAUACACAGAAAUGUGUAGGAAUGGAUAUGAAGGCUGUGGGAUAACAGUGGAAGGAAAAUAACAUCGGAUCAGGCCAAAUCCAAAACAGUUGACAUGGGCUCACCAAGCAGAUACUCUGUGUUAAUGUUGCAACUCGGGUUAGGGGCAGCUCUGACAGCCCGAGUGGUUGAAAUGUGGACCAAGACGUGCCCACGGUGAGCGAGUUAGAAAUGCCUGCGCUGCCUUGGUCCAAUGUAGAGAAAGGGAUUCAAAGGGUUGGGGAUAUUGGGGUGACUCUGUCAUUUAAGACCCAUUCAUCUACACAGAAGAGUGUCCAUCCAAAAGAUGCACCUUCCACUGAGACUGUGGGGACCCUAGCACCCCUGAAGAGCCCCAUGGUCCCUCUUUUCAGGCCAGACCCUACAGAAGGGACCAUAGCAACUCAACUGGAAAAACUCAAUACAGUGGAGUACUUGGAUCCUAGGGUGGCAGGGGCCAGGUGAGGGCACUCGCCUCCCAAAAGCAAAGUGGGCGUGGCUCCUGGGGUGGACAGCGGAGUCGAAACAGUGGUCAGAAUCGUCUGACUCACAGGGACCCAUGGUGUUGGCUGGCUGAUCGUGGCAUUGCCGGAUGUGAAACACAUAGGAAGUGCUGAAUUGUCAUUUGACCUGCAUCAGCAGAAAUGUUGUAGGCCAGGUGAGGAGAAGUCUGGCCUGAAUUAUAAAAACAGAGUCAUGGCCCUCCAUCAAUUCCAGACCUGAGCCAGUUAUAGACCCAAAACACCUUGAAGUGGGGGCGGCAGGGUCCACUUGAGGAAGGGCCCUGGUACCCCACUGAAAAUUUAUACUGUUCGUCUUUCUCCCUGUCUUCCCCAAAGGAAUCCGUGGGCUCUCAUCUGGGUAAUUGUGCACUGGGGAGAAGAGAAUAAUCAGAGCUUUGAGGGACUACCAGGUACAGAUUUUGAACCGACACUGACUCCCAGAGACCCAAAUCUAUCGUGGUGGUCCAGUCAGAAUAAAGGCUCGAGGAGGCCAGAAGGUCCAUGGGUUUUAGCCAAUGUCUGUCUCUCCACAGGCCUGGUGUGGCCCUGAACCCACCCUGUGUUUACCUCCCCAGUUCCAGAAUGCUCAAUUCGAAUCAACACACCCAGUAGCUGGCUGAACCCCCUCGGUGGUCCCCAGACCUGUGGAGUGAGGGCUGUUUGGGCAGGAAAGGCCAAGUAGGGCCCACCAGAACUGCCUCUACUGGGAAAAUAGUGAGCCCAAAGCAGCACCAUACUCCUGGAGGGAUUGCGGGGAUUAGCGCCACCAUCAGGGACAUGGCAGGUGCGGGAAUGGUGACUCCCAGCACACCCAGUCUGGCUCCCCUAUUUGGCCCGAGUGGGUGGGCCCUGGAGCGUGACCGUGGGCCAUCGUUAGCUUAAUCAGGCCGUGGCUCCAGCGGCAGCCGCUGGCCCGGCUGUGGUUUCAUUGCUUGAGCAAAUUAAUGCAAGCCUGGUACCCGGAAUGCAGCUAUUGGCCUGGAAGAUGCCUGUUUCCGCACCCGUCUGUGAGGCCCCCAAGCAGCAUGCUCUCAGCCGCAAGGCCAGAGAGGCAGGUUCACUGCCUGCCUCAGGGGACACGGACUCUCCAGCCCGACAUCGUAAUUUAUUUCACGGGGACCUUGACCACCAUUCCUUUCCACAAGAUUUCGUAUUUGUCCGUGAUGUGGGUGACAUUGCUAGCAGCUCCCCUAGACGUACUAGUAAGACAUCUUCACGUCAGAGUCAGGAAGUAAAUCCAACGAUAGCUCAGAGAGCUCCUUCCUCAGUGGCAUUUCUAGGGGCCCAGUGUGUGGGGUGUGUGGAGAUGUUUCCUCUGAGGUGAAGGGUUAGCUGGCACCCCUACAACCAAAGAAGAGGCACAGCAUUUGUGGGUCCCUUUGGCUCCUGGAGGCGGCCUAUUCCUGCUUUGAGUGCGUUACUCCAGCCAAUUUGCCGAAUGACCUAAAAAGCUGCUAGUUUUGAGUGGGGCCGGGAACAGGAGAAGGUCCAGGCUGCUGUGUGAGCUGCUCUGUCACUUGGGCCAGAUGACCCAGCGGGUCCAAUGAUGCCUGAAGGGUCCGGAGCAGAUGGAGUUGCAGUGCCCACCGUAGCCUCCAGCACAUUCUCUGUGCGCUGUUUGACGAAGACCAUCCUUGCUUCCACCCGUCUGUUUCCCAUCCGUAAAUGGACUUGGUGAAGUCACAGUGUGGACCCCACAGGGGCGUGGGUGGCCCAGGUGAAGCAGGCAGGACCUCAGG
Ailuropoda melanoleuca (giant panda) is the source of this 7527-nucleotide long non-coding RNA. RefSeq lists it as uncharacterized. The transcript has 3 exons. Lineage: Eukaryota; Metazoa; Chordata; Mammalia; Carnivora; Ursidae. The record is from RefSeq and is a predicted model, not a curated record.